This 774-nucleotide ribosomal RNA is filed under the name uncultured Neocallimastigales. RNAcentral describes it as "partial large subunit ribosomal RNA". It matches the Rfam family "Eukaryotic large subunit ribosomal RNA", at positions 23 to 634 of the family's 3401-position model. Lineage: Eukaryota; Fungi; Neocallimastigomycota; Neocallimastigomycetes; Neocallimastigales. The record is from RNAcentral.
AGAGAGAGACAUGCGCGCAUAUCAAUAAGCGGAGGAAAAGAAACUAACAAGGAUUCCCUUAGUAACGGCGAGUGAAGCGGGAAGAGCUCAAAUUUGAAAUCUUCAAGGUUUUACCUUGACGAAUUGUAGUUUAAAGAAGUGUUCUCUGCUGAAGUUUUGGUAAAAGUUCUUUGGAAUAGGACAUCAUAGAGGGUGAGAAUCCCGUAUUUGACCAUUAUUUCAGCUUUGUGAUACACUUUCAAAGAGUCGGAUUGUUUGGGAAUGCAGUCCAAAAUGGGUGGUAAAUUUCAUCUAAAGCUAAAUAUUGGCGAGAGACCGAUAGCGAACAAGUACCGUGAGGGAAAGAUGAAAAGAACUUUGAAAAGAGAGUUAAACAGUACGUGAAAUUGUCAAAAGGGAAGCGUUUGACACCAGUGUUGUUUUCUCGAAAAUCAAUUAAAAAUGGCUCGAUUUUGUAUUGUUGAGACCUUAAAAGCUCACUGUACAUUUUUUCGUGUCUUUUUUAAUGCACUUUUCGUUUAACAAGUCAACAUCAGUUUCUUUUGUUGUAAAAGGGUCAUUGGAAGGUGGCUUUCUUUUCGGAGAAAGUGUUUAUAGCCUUUGGCCUCUGCAAUCGGAGAGACUGAGGUCUGCAGCGUAGACUCUUCGGGGUUAGAUACAUUUGUGCUAAGUUAUAGCUUUUUAUAGACAACUUGUUGACUAUAAUUAGUCUUGUAGCUUACUCGCUUAUGCUAUUUUACCUACGCUUAGGAUGUUGAGUCGUAGAGCACGCAG